Long non-coding RNA from Artibeus jamaicensis (Jamaican fruit-eating bat), 4493 nucleotides. RefSeq lists it as uncharacterized. Lineage: Eukaryota; Metazoa; Chordata; Mammalia; Chiroptera; Phyllostomidae. The transcript has 3 exons. The record is from RefSeq and is a predicted model, not a curated record.
CCCCAAGGGAGAAUGCAGAGGCAUGGACUGGCACUUGGAAAAAAGAGGGAGACCAGCGCAGUGACCAUUAAAGAGAACAGCCCUCUGGAAUUUGGCUGCCAAGAACAGGAACACAGGUGAAGAGGAAGAGAGUUGCCCCAGACUCUGACACGUGGUCCUGGCCAGGUAGCUCGGCUGGUUGGAGCGUCGUCCAAACACCAAAAGGCUGCAGGUUUGAACCUCUGCAGGGGUGAGUAAGGGAGGCAACUGAUGGGUGUCUCUCUCUCUCUCCGUCCCUCCCUUCUUCCUUCCCUGUCUCUUUCUCCUCUCUGUUUCUCUCUAAAAUCAGUAAACGUAUCCUCAGGUGAAGAUUAAAACAGAAAGAAUCUGACACAUGGCUCUAGGUAUGUGGCACCUAGACUCAGGGUUUCCCGAAAGGGCCAGCAGACUCAGAAAUGCAUUUGGGGACAGUCAGUGACUUGCUAAUGCUGUUUCUUGUGGUUGCAUUUAGAAUCAGUAGCUGAAGGAAGAUGGCUGGGCUGCUACGGGCAGAGAAGGUAGCGAGAAUUAGGACCUUACUGAGGACUAGUGAAGGAGAAUGCAGAAUGCUACCAGGUAAAGGAAUAAUCAUUAUCAAUUGCAGCUUUCUGGGGUCCUAUCAGGCUGGAAGCAGACAGCCCCAGCCACCCCAUGGCCCCUCUGUGCUCAUGGGCGCUGUGCAGACAGGAUCGGCAAGCCCGCUGCCAGCUGGUAGAAAAAGGUACAGCUUCUUGCACGUAAGGUAAUUGUCAAAUAGUAAAGCGUAAGUCAGAUUCCCUUGAUCUGAAAUGGCCAUUGUGCAGUAUGCUGCCUUUCAAAAUAACCAUUUGAGUCCUGACUGGGCUUGACCACCAGCACAGCAAUUAAAAGCAAAACAUAAAGAACUGUAUAGAGUGGUUUGGGUGACGCCUCAUGUUACAGGAGAUGCUUUCAAAUGCAUACAUAAGAAAGGAAGGUUCUCUAUAUGGCUUGGUGUCUUGGGCCCAGAAGCAGAAUGGACACAUUCUACCAUCUGAGGAAUUUAUGUCUUGGAAGUACUUAAAAGAAAUCAUAUCUUUAAAAAAAACAGAAAAAUUUACAGCUUCUUUAAGACACUGCAUUGUGAUCUCCCAGGAAACUGGGUAACUAACUAUAAAAAAAAAAUCUGAGACUUGGAGGUGAAUAGGGAGCGCCCCCUGAAGUUGUGCAAAACGUAACUUGCAUAACCAGGCACAACAGCUCUGCUUCUUAAUGACGGUGUCCUGGGGCCCAGGGAUGUCCAGUGUACUGUGUUAAAGAAGGCAUAAGCAUUUUAGAAAAACAACUUGAGUUGAAGUGGUAAAAAUGACACAUCUUCGAUAGAAAGACAUUUCCUGGAAAGCUGAGUGGUAGGGAUCUCCCGCUUCCUGGAAAAAACUGCUUGGGUGGGGUAUUGCUGGAAUAGUGCUUUUCCGUCCUCAUUUAUUAUCUGUACCACAGGUCCCUCUGUGGUUCGCCUAAAUACGGCCUUAGGUUUCCGCACCCCCAGCAGAUCCCGGCAGGCUUCCCAGCCUUGCGAGGGGGCUGUGGGCAGGGCACCGUCUCUGGCCAACCAAAUCCACGCAUGAGGGAGGCCCCGAUGGGAGGGGGACCUCUGCUUCCCCAACUGUGGGGAAGGAGCCAGUCACCUCCAGGGUGGCAUUUUGUAGCCUAGCAUUUUAACAGAAUGGGUUCUUUUUUUGCCAGCAAAGUGCCUAUUCCCCACAGAACCAGAGAUUUUGGGGCUUCGCCUCUGCCCACUCAUUGCCUCCGGUCUGUUGUUUUAGGGGGCACUCAGAAGAGAGAGGCGUGUCCUCCUCAACCACAGUGGACGCCCCAAGGGCUUUAAAACAGGCUGAGGCCCGCGUCCCGGCUCCAGAUGUUUGGGUUCGAUCGAACUAGAUGACAACUGGGCCAGGGAGGUUCUCAGAAGCUUCCUGGGUGUUUCCAGUGGCAGCCGCGGCCGAGCGGCAGAGGGCGCUGCCCCGGCUGUCCCGCCACGCUCAGGUCAGCCCAGCGGGCCUCGCCCAGGAGGGCGCAUUACAACCACCUGGGAGUUUUUUUAAAAAACCCGAAUGCCGAACGACACCUCCCAGGCCAGUUCAUGGGCAUCUCUGGGGUAGACGCAGGCAUCGGGACUUUUCAUGGCUACCGGGUGAUUGUAUUGGGCAGGCAGGGCUGGUAACCGUUGGGCUGUCCAGAGCCACAGCCAAGGGCGUGGUGGCAAAAUGCAGAGCGUCCUCCCCUCUGAGGCCUUACAGGGCCAUCCCAAGAGACCCAGGCAAAGCAGCAGAGACACCGGAGGCACUAGAAGAGGGUGAGUACCUGGAUCCCGCCUUCUCCCUACUGGGAGACAGCACGAGGACCAGAACUGGUCCGAGACCAAGAUGUGGGUCCCUCUCGUGAAAGGGUGGGUGGACCCUCUUCUCGGGACAGAAUCUGAGAGCAACUUCUUAAUUCUUUUCCCAGCAUUUCUCUCUUAUUGUGGAGUUAAAGGUAUGAGUUCCCUUAAUAUACUCACACCCCGGCAGGUGACGGGGACUGGUGGGGCACUGAGCCCUUUCUGCUGCCCGUCACCCCAACUCUAUAGUGGCUGCCUCUCAGGGGAGGUACUCACGGGGCUCCUUGGCAUUUCCUUCAUUGUUCAUUCCCCUGGGAACAGCGAUUCUCCAACUUGCUCACCCCAGGGGCAGCCCUAGUUCUCCGAGGUGGGAAGAAAAUAGUUCCUGAUUCAAAACUGAGUUCUAAUGGAAACCUCUUUCUAAUACCCUUUGUUUUCAUCGUUUUAAAAAUAAUAGCAGUUCGGGAAGAUUGUUAGAAAUAGCUUCAGCCUCUAGAGGAGCCAGGGAACGGAUGGCUGCUUCAGAAAAUGCGUGGGGACCACAGGAGGCUGAAAGACGGCCCCUCUCUCCUCCCACCCCCCACCUGCCUUUUUUGGCCACAAAGUUCACCAUACAGUCACCCCAGAUGUUUUUGCCCAUAAAGGUGAAGUCAGGACCCUGCCAGAAAUGCAAAUGGUGGAAGCAUGGCUGACCAGCCCCGAGAAGCAUGCAUGCAAAGCUCAAAACUUGGCUCGCUCCCACUCAGUGAGAACAGCAGCCCUGUUCCCCCAGGAAGCCUUUCCGGGGGAGCCCAUCACUCGCUGUUGCUCCUUUGCUGUCUUCGUGGUUUCCGGUCGUCCCACGUGUCUCAGGUCCUGCCCACUCUCGCCAGCUCCUGGUAGGGAAGCAGGCUUCUUGCUUCCUGUCCCUGACCUUGGUGUCUGCUGAAGCUGGGCCCUGAGUGCAGGCUCAAUAGCUGUGCUUUAGAAUGAUUUUGAAAACAUCAGCUAUUAAAAAAGGCAACAACAGAACAGGACAUCCCUGGGGACUCUUCCACCCAUGCUUCGCUGGGUUUGCUUCCUCUCCCUUCCGUCCCAUCUCCCAGAUUUACGGAGGUCAUGUUAAGUUCAGCUCCCUGCUCGCAGCGGCCAUGGAGCAGCACAGUGUUCGCAGGGCAGAGAGGAGGGAGGCCGCACGCCCCACCCCCACUGACUGUCAUGGUCGAGGACCCUUUCCCUGAGGGAGGAGAGAGAUGGGGGUGGGCUGGGGAGACCAGGGACUGGCAGAAGCACCCCACGCCCGCCCAGGCACCACCUUGAGCAUUAAAGCCUCUGGCAAGAAGAUUGCUGGGACAGUUUUGUCGAAAUUGCUGACUUUGUGUAUUUUUGGGGUGUAAAGCUGGGCUGAUUUUUUUUUCUUCCCACUCAGUGCUCCACACCCAGCCCACUCUCCAGCACUUUCUACAGGAUGUGACUGUGCCACAAGGGUCACUCAGUGGCUCCAGGGGACACAGGAGAUUCACACGUCGCUCUGUAUGCUGGGCUGCUGCAUGGGCUGGCCUGGGGUGGGGACCUGUGACCCUCUCCCUCGUCCUCCAGGCCCUGGACAGAUGAGACUCAGGCAGAAACGGACUGUUUGCAAUUCCUUGGACAGACCAGCACAGAAGAGAUGAUUCACUGGCUAAAGGUUGUGCCACACGCACUGAGCCCCCAAAUUGGACCCAGACAUGCAGGAAUAAUGUGUCACAGCAUGUUCUGCCCAUGUCCUCUGCUGAAAGCCACAUUUGGAGCUCGGGCUGAAGUUGUUGAAAUGUGGAGCUCAGAUGUGAUGACGGCUCAUGAGCCCACUGUGAGCCCGCCAACGUGUUUGUGCUUCCCCAGUGGACCUUGUGGGGUAACUAUUCACACCCCGUUUUAGACAUGGAGAAACCUGGAGGUCAGGAAACUUGUCCUGGGCCGUCCAGUGUGCGUGCAAUGGGGCUGAAGUUAAAACCCAGAUCUCAUGGGCCCCAGAACCCGAUCUCGCCAGUGAGGCGAGCAGUGCUGUCUUUUCGUUGGCACGUCUGCCCCAAGACUGGGUGUCCUCUGUUCUCAAUUACUCCAGGAAGGAUGAUGUUAAUUGGGAAUGAGUGAAUGAAUAAAUAUGGCAUAAAUCAUA